This 2782-nucleotide ribosomal RNA is filed under the name Bacillus cereus. Its description in RNAcentral is "23S ribosomal RNA". It matches the Rfam family "Bacterial large subunit ribosomal RNA". The record is from RNAcentral. Lineage: Bacteria; Bacillati; Bacillota; Bacilli; Caryophanales; Bacillaceae.
GGUUAAGUUAGAAAGGGCGCACGGUGGAUGCCUUGACACUAGGAGUCGAUGAAGGACGGGACUAACGCCGAUAUGCUUCGGGGAGCUGUAAGUAAGCUUUGAUCCGAAGAUUUCCGAAUGGGGAAACCCACCAUACGUAAUGGUAUGGUAUCCUUAUCUGAAUACAUAGGGUAAGGAAGACAGACCCAGGGAACUGAAACAUCUAAGUACCUGGAGGAAGAGAAAGCAAAUGCGAUUUCCUGAGUAGCGGCGAGCGAAACGGAACAUAGCCCAAACCAAGAGGCUUGCCUCUUGGGGUUGUAGGACAUUCUAUACGGAGUUACAAAGGAACGAGGUAGACGAAGCGACCUGGAAAGGUCCGUCGUAGAGGGUAACAACCCCGUAGUCGAAACUUCGUUCUCUCUUGAAUGUAUCCUGAGUACGGCGGAACACGUGAAAUUCCGUCGGAAUCUGGGAGGACCAUCUCCCAAGGCUAAAUACUCCCUAGUGAUCGAUAGUGAACCAGUACCGUGAGGGAAAGGUGAAAAGCACCCCGGAAGGGGAGUGAAAGAGAUCCUGAAACCGUGUGCCUACAAAUAGUCAGAGCCCGUUAACGGGUGAUGGCGUGCCUUUUGUAGAAUGAACCGGCGAGUUACGAUCCCGUGCGAGGUUAAGCUGAAGAGGCGGAGCCGCAGCGAAAGCGAGUCUGAAUAGGGCGUUUAGUACGUGGUCGUAGACCCGAAACCAGGUGAUCUACCCAUGUCCAGGGUGAAGUUCAGGUAACACUGAAUGGAGGCCCGAACCCACGCACGUUGAAAAGUGCGGGGAUGAGGUGUGGGUAGCGGAGAAAUUCCAAUCGAACCUGGAGAUAGCUGGUUCUCCCCGAAAUAGCUUUAGGGCUAGCCUUAAGUGUAAGAGUCUUGGAGGUAGAGCACUGAUUGGACUAGGGGUCCUCAUCGGAUUACCGAAUUCAGUCAAACUCCGAAUGCCAAUGACUUAUCCUUAGGAGUCAGACUGCGAGUGAUAAGAUCCGUAGUCAAAAGGGAAACAGCCCAGACCGCCAGCUAAGGUCCCAAAGUGUGUAUUAAGUGGAAAAGGAUGUGGAGUUGCUUAGACAACUAGGAUGUUGGCUUAGAAGCAGCCACCAUUUAAAGAGUGCGUAAUAGCUCACUAGUCGAGUGACUCUGCGCCGAAAAUGUACCGGGGCUAAAUACACCACCGAAGCUGCGGAUUGAUACCAAUGGUAUCAGUGGUAGGGGAGCGUUCUAAGGACAGUGAAGUCAGACCGUAAGGACUGGUGGAGUGCUUAGAAGUGAGAAUGCCGGUAUGAGUAGCGAAAGACGGGUGAGAAUCCCGUCCACCGAAUGCCUAAGGUUUCCUGAGGAAGGCUCGUCCGCUCAGGGUUAGUCAGGACCUAAGCCGAGGCCGACAGGCGUAGGCGAUGGACAACAGGUUGAUAUUCCUGUACCACCUCUUUAUCGUUUGAGCAAUGGAGGGACGCAGAAGGAUAGAAGAAGCGUGCGAUUGGUUGUGCACGUCCAAGCAGUUAGGCUGAUAAGUAGGCAAAUCCGCUUAUCGUAAAGGCUGAGCUGUGAUGGGGAAGCUCCUUAUGGAGCGAAGUCUUUGAUUCCCCGCUGCCAAGAAAAGCUUCUAGCGAGAUAAAAGGUGCCUGUACCGCAAACCGACACAGGUAGGCGAGGAGAGAAUCCUAAGGUGUGCGAGAGAACUCUGGUUAAGGAACUCGGCAAAAUGACCCCGUAACUUCGGGAGAAGGGGUGCUUUCUUAACGGAAAGCCGCAGUGAAUAGGCCCAAGCGACUGUUUAGCAAAAACACAGCUCUCUGCGAAGCCGUAAGGCGAAGUAUAGGGGGUGACACCUGCCCGGUGCUGGAAGGUUAAGGAGAGGGGUUAGCGUAAGCGAAGCUCUGAACUGAAGCCCCAGUAAACGGCGGCCGUAACUAUAACGGUCCUAAGGUAGCGAAAUUCCUUGUCGGGUAAGUUCCGACCCGCACGAAAGGUGUAACGAUUUGGGCACUGUCUCAACCAGAGACUCGGUGAAAUUAUAGUACCUGUGAAGAUGCAGGUUACCCGCGACAGGACGGAAAGACCCCGUGGAGCUUUACUGUAGCCUGAUAUUGAAUUUUGGUACAGUUUGUACAGGAUAGGCGGGAGCCAUUGAAACCGGAGCGCUAGCUUCGGUGGAGGCGCUGGUGGGAUACCGCCCUGACUGUAUUGAAAUUCUAACCUACGGGUCUUAUCGACCCGGGAGACAGUGUCAGGUGGGCAGUUUGACUGGGGCGGUCGCCUCCUAAACUGUAACGGAGGCGCCCAAAGGUUCCCUCAGAAUGGUUGGAAAUCAUUCGUAGAGUGCAAAGGCAUAAGGGAGCUUGACUGCGAGACCUACAAGUCGAGCAGGGACGAAAGUCGGGCUUAGUGAUCCGGUGGUUCCGCAUGGAAGGGCCAUCGCUCAACGGAUAAAAGCUACCCCGGGGAUAACAGGCUUAUCUCCCCCAAGAGUCCACAUCGACGGGGAGGUUUGGCACCUCGAUGUCGGCUCAUCGCAUCCUGGGGCUGUAGUCGGUCCCAAGGGUUGGGCUGUUCGCCCAUUAAAGCGGUACGCGAGCUGGGUUCAGAACGUCGUGAGACAGUUCGGUCCCUAUCCGUCGUGGGCGUAGGAAAUUUGAGAGGAGCUGUCCUUAGUACGAGAGGACCGGGAUGGACGCACCGCUGGUGUACCAGUUGUUCUGCCAAGGGCAUAGCUGGGUAGCUAUGUGCGGAAGGGAUAAGUGCUGAAAGCAUCUAAG